Molecule: ribosomal RNA, 636 nt
Filed under: Trametes ochracea
Lineage: Eukaryota; Fungi; Basidiomycota; Agaricomycetes; Polyporales; Polyporaceae
Description: eukaryotic LSU rRNA
Rfam family: 5.8S ribosomal RNA (bases 243-396)
Source: RNAcentral
AGAGGAAGUAAAAGUCGUAACAAGGUUUCCGUAGGUGAACCUGCGGAAGGAUCAUUAACGAGUUUUGAAACGGGUUGUAGCUGGCCUUCCGAGGCAUGUGCACGCCCUGCUCAUCCACUCUACCCCUGUGCACUUACUGUAGGUUGGCGUGGGCUCCUUCACGGGAGCAUUCUGCCGGCCUAUGUAUACUACAAACACUUUAAAGUAUCAGAAUGUAAACGCGUCUAACGCAUCUAUAAUACAACUUUUAGCAACGGAUCUCUUGGCUCUCGCAUCGAUGAAGAACGCAGCGAAAUGCGAUAAGUAAUGUGAAUUGCAGAAUUCAGUGAAUCAUCGAAUCUUUGAACGCACCUUGCGCUCCUUGGUAUUCCGAGGAGCAUGCCUGUUUGAGUGUCAUGGAAUUCUCAACCUAUAAAUCCUUGUGAUCUAUAGGCUUGGACUUGGAGGCUUGCUGGCCCUUGCGGUCGGCUCCUCUUGAAUGCAUUAGCUCGAUUCCGUAUGGAUCGGCUCUCAGUGUGAUAAUUGUCUACGCUGUGACCGUGAAGUGUUUUGGCGAGCUUCUAACCGUCCACUAGGACAACUUUUUAACAUCUGACCUCAAAUCAGGUAGGACUACCCGCUGAACUUAAGCAUAUC